AAUGAUCACACACAUAAAAAAAUACCAUGGCACUUCCACGGAAAAUGGACUUUGUCACAUCCAUAACGCCAGUGAAAUGCCUUGGCAUUUGUAUGAUG
Long non-coding RNA from Alosa sapidissima (American shad), 98 nucleotides. RefSeq lists it as uncharacterized. NCBI's taxonomy places the organism in Eukaryota, Metazoa, Chordata, Actinopteri, Clupeiformes, Clupeidae. The record is from RefSeq and is a predicted model, not a curated record. The transcript is spliced from 4 exons.